This 73-nucleotide transfer RNA is filed under the name Pseudomonadota bacterium. Its description in RNAcentral is "tRNA-Arg". It matches the Rfam family "tRNA". From Rfam's summary of the family: Transfer RNA (tRNA) molecules are approximately 80 nucleotides in length. Their secondary structure includes four short double-helical elements and three loops (D, anti-codon, and T loops). Lineage: Bacteria; Pseudomonadati; Pseudomonadota. RNAcentral also lists the same sequence under 2 other names. The record is from RNAcentral.
GCCCCUGUAGUUCAAUCGGAUAGAACGCAGGUUUCCUAAACCUGCUAUCAAGGUUCAAGUCCUUGCAGGGGUA